CGAUGCCAGGAGGCCGCCGCUGAAAACUCACUCAUUUCACUGUCAUGGCGUCUCCCGUUGAUAACCUUAUAUUUUCUCCACUGAUGAAUGAGACUUCUUAAAUAUUCCAGCUGACCACAGCGUGUCGGGAUGACUUGGAUGUUAAACUCGCAGACAUGUCAAUGGUAGUCAAUUGAUCCAUCACGUUGCGGAGGGCCACUGGGCUUAGAGAAGGCCAAAGCGGCUUGAUCCUCCUCAAAUCCAAAGCAAACAGGCACAACAUGGCCGCCCUGAUGCGCCGCAGCCUCGGGGCCUGAAAACAGGAGUUCCCCUGAGCAGCUAUCAAAAGCUUUGCUUCCCGCCAAGUGCAAAGGCCUCACGAUCCCCUGGAGUCUCAGAGGGCGAGGAAGACACGACCGGAGUCAACAACCUUCGUCUGUCCUUUUCAAGACCUUUACCCGCUCAGAGCAAAGCGUCUCAAUGAAUCCAGAACUUUCACUGUAAAUAUACAUAUUGAAGCCAUUACUCGAGGAGUUUGGAUGAGUCAAACGAUGAAGAAUGGCAUUACUCGAGCAGCAAAAAAGACAAGUCUUUCUUUUGAAGACGAUACUCCGUCUCCGGUUGUCGGUUGUGUUUUGCUUCCCUGAAAACAUGCACUUCAGAGAAGGUGCCUUGUGAAAGUCUCUGGAGUCCCCUGAUCCCGUCCCCUUGACUCUGCUCAUUGUUUUUGGCAGAGCAGCUGCUUCGAGAUUUAGAUAUCAUCAUUCAGGCCGGAGGAUGGGACAUGGAGACAUGUCCCCCGGGGAGUCUGCAGAGCACGGAGAGGCACAAUGAAGCGAGUGACUGGCCGCGUUCAAAAGGGAGAAUGGUGCCAAACGCUGGGCAAGAUCAACUACUCAGGACUGUUUCCUUUGCCAAGGACGGUCUGUGAAUGACUCCAACAGCUGAAGGUCUCUGCAGAUGUGAGACUUUGUCGCUGUGGAUAAUGUCAGCGACUCGUAAACGCCUUCCCGAGACCGGGAAAUUGAAUCUAUAGUCACUCCCUCGCAUUCUCAGGGGUUCAUCCCUUGACCUUCACAACCCCAAGAAAGUCUUCAGAUAUCAACGCGCGCUGGGAAGGCCACCAGGAUGUUUGCGUCAUAACAGCGAAAUGUUAUUCAUAUUAAUUUCACGUCACGGCUUCAUCUUUUACUGCUGUCGUUAAUAGAAAUAUAUUUUUUAUUAAAAUUGACAUUGUAUCAGGUGGUCAUAUUGCUGAAACUGUUGGUUUGUUCUCUUAAAAUCAAUGUCAAUCAAAUGUUUGGAAAUGCUAAAAAACGGAAACAAUCUUUGCUUCAUUAUUUUAAAACACAACUAAGCGCUUGAAUUGGAACCGGUAUUUGGUCUUGUUAUUUUGGUCAUAUUAAUGGUUCAUCUGCCCUAAUAAUUAAUUCAUUAGUGGUCAACAAAUACAAAGUGCUUGUAUGAUUACAGUAUUUAAAUAUAAGCCAGUCCAAUAAAGGAACAUGAUAAUAUCAC
This is a long non-coding RNA of Gasterosteus aculeatus aculeatus (three-spined stickleback), 1497 nucleotides long. Lineage: Eukaryota; Metazoa; Chordata; Actinopteri; Perciformes; Gasterosteidae. The record is from Ensembl.